ACUUUUGGAUGCCAGCUGCUGUAAAACCCAGAAGAAGAAGGAGAAGAACCUGAAGCGGGAGUAGGAGGAGGACAGCCGUAUCUCGGUCUGCCGUUAGUGUACAGUUAAAAACGAUUUCUGUCUCCAUGGCAACCCGCAGGGUAGUGCAGGUGUACCUGGACCUGCUGUCGCAGCCGUGCCGGGCGGUGCACAUCCUGCUGAACUGCAACAAGAUCCCGCACACCGUCCGAACCGUGGCUCUGAGGAAAGGAGAGAACAGGACCCCAGAAUUCACCAAGCUGAACCCCAUGAACAGAGUUCCUGUGAUGGAGGACAACGGCUUCGUUCUCACAGAGAGGUACACACACACACACAGUGACGCCAUCCUGAAGUACCUGGCAGCUAAGUACAAGGUCCUGGAGCACUGGUAUCCACGGCAACCAGAGAAACGAGCCAGAGUGGACGAAUACACAGCCUGGCAUCACAACAACACACGGCCACACGCUGCUAAAGUGUUCAUACUAGAGGUGCUUCUCCCAGCUCAGACCGGCUCCCCGGUGGACGAGGGGCGUUUGAUUCGCGCUCUGUCUCAGCUUGAUGAGACUCUAGACAAACUGGAGUCCAUGUUCCUCCGCAGACAGCCCUUUUUGUGCGGCGAUGACAUCACUGUGGCAGACCUGCUUGCGGUCUGUGAGGUCAUGCAGCCGAUGGGCGGGGACAGAGACAUCCUGAAGGAUCGUCCUCAGCUGCAGCGCUGGAGGAGCAGAGUUCAGUCUGCUGUUGGCGAGUCCUUCGACCAGGCGCACGCCGUCCUGUAUGCCCUGAGAGACCGCCGCAAAGCCAAGCUGUGACAUCACACAUGUGGGCGGAGCCAACAGACACCUGCUGCCUGACCGAGGGAGGAGCCAAUCACCAUCAAGAGAAACUGAGCUGAUGAACAGGUGUCUGAGUGUCUGCCCUACUGUUUAAUUAAAACAUAGAUCAAUAAUAUGACUGAUUAGUCACAAACAAACUAACUGUUUGGAAUCACUGAUGAUUUAUGUGUUUCAAUUCUGGUUACGCUCAGCGUGAGAAAUAAAAAAAGUCCUGACAGUGAAUUGUGCCUUAUGCUGAGAGACAGACGAGUGAGGGGCAGACAGGUGAGGGGCAGACGAGUGACUGACGUGUUUCUAAAUAAUCAUCAGUUUGUUUGUAAAUAUUUAAAAUCAUGUUUGUAAUGAAGAGAAUCAAAGUUA
Molecule: RNA transcript, 1214 nt
Organism: Acanthopagrus latus (yellowfin seabream)
Lineage: Eukaryota; Metazoa; Chordata; Actinopteri; Spariformes; Sparidae
Gene: gstt2
Gene name: glutathione S-transferase theta 2
Exons: 6
Source: RefSeq, a predicted model, not a curated record